GUGGAUUAGAUACCCUGGUAGUCCACGCCGUAAACGAUGCGCGCUAGAUCGGUGCGGCUCUGACGCCGGAUCGGUCGAAGUAAAAACGAUAAGCGCGCCGCCUGGGGAGUACGGUCGCAAGGCUAAAACUCAAAGAAAUUGACGGGGGCUCACACAAGCGGUGGAGCAUGUUGCUUAAUUCGAGGCAACGCGAAGAACCUUACCUGGGUUUGACAUGGUCGGAUUAACCCCAUGAAAGUGGGGCCACACCCGCAAGGGUGGAACGAUCACAGGUGCUGCACGGCCGUCGCCAGCU
Molecule: ribosomal RNA, 295 nt
Filed under: uncultured bacterium
Lineage: Bacteria
Description: partial 16S ribosomal RNA
Rfam family: Bacterial small subunit ribosomal RNA
Source: RNAcentral